This is a long non-coding RNA of Oncorhynchus keta (chum salmon), 571 nucleotides long. RefSeq lists it as uncharacterized. The record is from RefSeq and is a predicted model, not a curated record. Lineage: Eukaryota; Metazoa; Chordata; Actinopteri; Salmoniformes; Salmonidae. The transcript has 3 exons.
UCCAGUCUAUCAGACAGUAUUAUAUUAUAAUGUUCCAGGUAUCCAGUCUAUCAGACAGUAUUAUAAUGUUCCAGGUAUCCAGUCUAUCAGACAGUAUUAUAUUAUAAUGUUCCAGGUAUCCAGUCUAUCAGGCAGUAUUAUAUUAUAAUGUUCCAGGUAUCCAGUCUAUCAGACAGUAUUAUAAUGUUCCAGGUAUCCAGUCUAUCAGACAGUAUUAUGAUGUUCCAGGUAUCCAGUCUAUCAGUCAGUAUUAUAUUAUAAUGUUCCAGGUAUCCAGUCUAUCAGACAGUAUUAUAAUGUUCCAGGUAUCCAGUCUAUCAGACAGUAUUAUAAUGUUCCAGGUAUCCAGUCUAUCAGUCAGUAUUAUAUUAUAAUGUUCCAGGUAUCCAGUCUAUCAGUCAGUAUUAUAUUAUAAUGUUCCAGGUAUCCAGUCUAUCAGACAGUAUUAUAAUGUUCCAGGUAUCCAGUCUAUCAGACAGUAUUAUAAUGUUCCAGGUAUCCAGUCUAUCAGACAGUAUUAUAUUAUAAUGUUCCAGGUAUCCAGUCUAUCAGUCAGUAUUAUAUUAUAAUG